This 1241-nucleotide ribosomal RNA is filed under the name Microbacterium sp. RNAcentral describes it as "bacterial SSU rRNA". It matches the Rfam family "Bacterial small subunit ribosomal RNA", at positions 182 to 1428 of the family's 1533-position model. Lineage: Bacteria; Bacillati; Actinomycetota; Actinomycetes; Micrococcales; Microbacteriaceae. The record is from RNAcentral.
ACAGUCGCAUGGCUCGUGGUUGGAAAGAUUUUUUGGUUGGGGAUGGGCUCGCGGCCUAUCAGCUUGUUGGUGAGGUAAUGGCUCACCAAGGCGUCGACGGGUAGCCGGCCUGAGAGGGUGACCGGCCACACUGGGACUGAGACACGGCCCAGACUCCUACGGGAGGCAGCAGUGGGGAAUAUUGCACAAUGGGCGCAAGCCUGAUGCAGCAACGCCGCGUGAGGGAUGACGGCCUUCGGGUUGUAAACCUCUUUUAGCAAGGAAGAAGCGAAAGUGACGGUACUUGCAGAAAAAGCGCCGGCUAACUACGUGCCAGCAGCCGCGGUAAUACGUAGGGCGCAAGCGUUAUCCGGAAUUAUUGGGCGUAAAGAGCUCGUAGGCGGUUUGUCGCGUCUGCUGUGAAAUCCCGAGGCUCAACCUCGGGUCUGCAGUGGGUACGGGCAGACUAGAGUGCGGUAGGGGAGAUUGGAAUUCCUUGGUGUAGAGGUGGAAUGCGCAGAUAUCAGGAGGAACACCGAUGGCGAAGGCAGAUCUCUGGGCCGUAACUGACGCUGAGGAGCGAAAGGGUGGGGAGCAAACAGGCUUAGAUACCCUGGUAGUCCACCCCGUAAACGUUGGGAACUAGUUGUGGGGUCCUUUCCACGGAUUCCGUGACGCAGCUAACGCAUUAAGUUCCCCGCCUGGGGGAGUACGGCCGCAAGGCUAAAACUCAAAAGGAAUUGACGGGGGACCCGCACAAACCGGCGGAGCAUGGCGGAUUAAUUCGAUGCAACGCGAAGAACCUUACCAAGGCUUGACAUACACGAGAACACUCUAGAAAUAGGGGACUCUUUGGACACUCGUGAACAGGUGGUGCAUGGUUGUCGUCAGCUCGUGUCGUGAGAUGUUGGGUUAAGUCCCGCAACGAGCGCAACCCUCGUUCUAUGUUGCCAGCACGUUAUGGUGGGAACUCAUGGGAUACUGCCGGGGUCAACUCGGAGGAAGGUGGGGAUGACGUCAAAUCAUCAUGCCCCUUAUGUCUUGGGCUUCACGCAUGCUACAAUGGCCGGUACAAAGGGCUGCAAUACCGUGAGGUGGAGCGAAUCCCAAAAAGCCGGUCCCAGUUCGGAUUGAGGUCUGCAACUCGACCUCAUGAAGUCGGAGUCGCUAGUAAUCGCAGAUCAGCAACGCUGCGGUGAAUACGUUCCCGGGUCUUGUACACACCGCCCGUCAAGUCAUGAAAGUCGGUAACACCUGAAGCC